GGGUCGUUAGCUCAGUUGGUAGAGCAGUUGGCUUUUAACCAAUUGGUCGCAGGUUCGAGUCCUGCACGACCCACCA
RNAcentral lists this transfer RNA (76 nucleotides) under Pokkaliibacter plantistimulans. Its description in RNAcentral is "tRNA-Lys". It matches the Rfam family "tRNA". From Rfam's summary of the family: Transfer RNA (tRNA) molecules are approximately 80 nucleotides in length. Their secondary structure includes four short double-helical elements and three loops (D, anti-codon, and T loops). Further hydrogen bonds mediate the characteristic L-shaped molecular structure. tRNAs have two regions of fundamental functional importance: the anti-codon, which is responsible for specific mRNA codon recognition, and the 3' end, to which the tRNAs corresponding amino acid is attached (by aminoacyl-tRNA synthetases). tRNAs cope with the degeneracy of the genetic code in two manners: having more than one tRNA (with a specific anti-codon) for a particular amino acid; and 'wobble' base-pairing, i.e. permitting non-standard base-pairing at the 3rd anti-codon position. The record is from RNAcentral. Lineage: Bacteria; Pseudomonadati; Pseudomonadota; Gammaproteobacteria; Oceanospirillales; Balneatrichaceae. RNAcentral also lists the same sequence under 1 other name.